This 557-nucleotide ribosomal RNA is filed under the name Streptomyces sp. T5. RNAcentral describes it as "bacterial SSU rRNA". It matches the Rfam family "Bacterial small subunit ribosomal RNA", at positions 816 to 1362 of the family's 1533-position model. The record is from RNAcentral. Lineage: Bacteria; Bacillati; Actinomycetota; Actinomycetes; Kitasatosporales; Streptomycetaceae.
CUAGGUGUUGGGGACAUUCCACGUCGUCGUUGCCGCAGCUUACGCAUUAGUUCCCCGCUUGGGGAGUACGGCCGCAAGGCUAAAACUCAAAGGUAUUGACGGGGUCGCGCACAAGCAGCGGAGCAUGUGGCUUAAUUCGACGCAACGCGAAGAACCUUACCAAGGCUUGACAUACACCGGAAAGCAUCAGAGAUGGUGCCCCCCUUGUGGUCGGUGUACAGGUGGUGCAUGGCUUGUCGUCAGCUCGUGUCGUGAGAUGUUGGGUUAAGUCCCGCAACGAGCGCAACCCUUGUUCUGUGUUGGCCAGCAUGCCCUUCGGGGUGAUGGGGACUCACAGGAGACCGCCGGGGUCAACUCGGAGGAAGGUGGGGACGACGUCAAGUCAUCAUGCCCCUUAUGUCUUGGGCUGCACACGUGCUACAAUGGCCGGUACAAUGAGCUGCGAUACCGCCAAGGUGGAGCGAAUCUCAAAAAGCCGGUCUCAGUUCGGAUUGGGGUCUGCAACUCGACCCCAUGAAGUCGGAGUUGCUAGUAAUCGCAGAUCAGCAUUGCUGCGG